This 268-nucleotide long non-coding RNA is filed under the name Capra hircus (goat). RNAcentral describes it as "lncRNA (ENSCHIG00010010554.1)". The record is from RNAcentral. Lineage: Eukaryota; Metazoa; Chordata; Mammalia; Artiodactyla; Bovidae.
AAACUGCAGAAAUUGAUGGAUUGGCUCACUUUUCAGAGCACUAACAGUUGGACCAACCUCCGUUGUCAAGAGCCUUAAUCCAGCAUUAACAUCUGCGUCAUAACGCUUACCCAUGACUAAACCACUGCAGGAUUAAUGUAGGCUGACCACUGCAGCAGUGUUUAUUAUACAAUCUGCUUGAGCCUUUCAUCAUGUCAAAGAGGUGGUUGAUCCAUAUGGGCUACACGAACAAGUCUCCUUGACCUGUGGCUUCCAGGCAGGUCCCACC